Molecule: long non-coding RNA, 1068 nt
Filed under: Sus scrofa (pig)
Lineage: Eukaryota; Metazoa; Chordata; Mammalia; Artiodactyla; Suidae
Description: lncRNA (ENSSSCG00035015520.1)
Source: RNAcentral
GACACAGGCACCGGCUUAGAGACCUCAGUCCCCCGGAGGAGGCUGGUCUGUGGGCAUCUUAGGACAUCCGUGAGAAGGCUCCAGAUGGAAAAUGCUGGAGGGCCCAGGUUUUCAGGAAGGCACCUCCUCACCUUUCAGUCCGGGAGAACGUGUUCCAGCAAAGCCAGGGAGAGAGGCUCGCCGGCCCAGGCCUCUCCAGCUUCUCUUAAAGGCGAAAAGAGAAGCUGAGGACCCCGCACGCUCCCCAGCGCAUGGAGCUGAAGCCACGACCCCAAGGAUCCCAUCCAAGAAACCCUAUUAUGUUCAGUCAUCAGGUCUCCUUGGGCUCCUCUCGGCUGUGAUGGUUUCUCAGACUUGCCUUGUUUUUGAUGACCUGGGCAGUUCUGAGGCGUGCUGGUCAGGUGUUUUGCAGAAUGUUCUUCAGCUGGCAUUUGUUUGCUGAUUUUCCUCAUGAUGAAACUAGGGUCACGGGUUUGGGGGAAGAAAACCACAGGGAUAAGGGGCCAUUCUCGUCACAUAUCAAGGGCACAUACUGUCACCAUGACUUCUCGUUGCUGACGCUGACACUGACCCCCUGGCUGAGGCCGUGUUGGUCACUGUCCAGUUCCUCCUUUGGCCCUUUCCACGCUGUCCUCUUUGGAAGGAAGCACAUACCUCUCUGCACAGCACACACGGAAGGGCUGGGGAGUGAGGCUCCGCUCCCUGGAGGCUGAGUGUCCACCUGAUUCGGGAUUCGUCUGCACAGUUCGUCUGUCCUCCCUCGUUUGUGUCCCUCUCCAGUCACCGCUUUCCAGCGCUAUGGACUCAGGGAUACUUCCUUGAGGCGCUGGGUUAUCAUCCACUACUACUUCAUUCUGUUGCUCAGGCCUUUCCAGAUGUGGCCACUGGAGGCGCUUUCCAUUGGCUCCUGCGUCCCUCUGAUCUAUCUCAUCGCUGUGCUUUUGUGGAGCGCAUCCUUCUGAUACGAAGACGCGCCAGACUCCAGCUGUAUAUUCCCUGUCCUCGUCCUGCAAUCAGUCAUUUCUCCCAGGAGCCCUGGUUUCUCUCAUGACACCACGGUGUUAAAAA